AUUGAACGCUGGCGGCAUGCCUAACACAUGCAAGUCGAACGGCAGCACGGGAGCUUGCUCCUGGUGGCGAGUGGCGGACGGGUGAGUAAUGCAUAGGAAUCUGCCCAGUAGCGGGGGACAACUUGGGGAAACUCAAGCUAAUACCGCAUACGCCCUACGGGGAAAGCGGGGACCUUCGGGCCUCGCACUAUUGGAUGAGCCUAUGUCAGAUUAGCUUGUUGGUGGGGUAAGUGGCCUACCAAGGCAACGAUCUCUAGCUGGUCUGAGAGGACGAUCAGCCACACUGGGACUGAGACACGGCCCAGACUCCUACGGGAGGCAGCAGUGGGGAAUAUUGGACAAUGGGCGAAAGCCUGAUCCAGCAAUGCCGCGUGUGUGAAGAAGGCCUGAGGGUUGUAAAGCACUUUCAAUCGUGAAGAAAAGUUGCAGGCUAAUACCCUGUGACCUUGACGUUAACGAUACAAGAAGCACCGGCUAACUCCG
RNAcentral lists this ribosomal RNA (483 nucleotides) under uncultured bacterium. Its description in RNAcentral is "bacterial SSU rRNA". It matches the Rfam family "Bacterial small subunit ribosomal RNA", at positions 30 to 505 of the family's 1533-position model. The record is from RNAcentral.